CGCACCUCUCACUCCGCAUCCUUCUCUUCUUUCUCUCUCCAUUUCAAUCACCCCCACUCUUUCUGCGUUACUCUGUCCUUCAAUUUUCUAUUUCAUCGAAGGAGCUUGCAGUUGAGGAACCUUGAUUCGAAGCCCUAACCUCAACCAACAGAAUUUGAGUCUGUUAAUGUGAUUUAUUCUCUUCUUGUAUGAGUGUUUUUGCACUCGCGUGUUUACAUUCCCCCCUCAAACUUUUAGAGAAGUUCGAUCAAUGGCGGAAAGGAGAUUCCGGAUAGGAUAUGCGCUCGCACACAAGAAGCGACAGAGCUUUAUACAAAACUCAUUGGUGACCCUCGCUGAAUCUCGCGGCAUAGACCUCGUUCGGGUCGAUGCGGACCGGCCGCUGGUGGAUCAGGGCCCCUUCGAUUGUGUUCUUCACAAAUUGUACGGCGAUGAUUGGAAGGCUCAGCUGCGGGAUUUUGUGAGGAAAUACCCAAAUGCGGUCAUCCUCGACUCGCCUGACGCGAUUGAGAGACUGCACAAUCGGAUUUCCAUGCUACAGGUGGUGUCGGAGUUGAAGAUUGAGGACCAGAAUGAGACCUUCGGGAUUCCUAAGCAGAUUGUCAUAUAUGACAAGGAAACUCUCCUCGAUCGGCUUGCGUGGGAGAGUUUGAAGUUUCCAGUAAUUGCGAAGCCUUUGGUGGCAGAUGGGAGCGCCAAAUCGCAUAAAAUGGCGCUUGUUUAUAACCACGAUGCCUUGAACAAGCUGAAGCCGCCGAUUGUAUUGCAGGAGUUUGUGAACCAUGGCGGUGUCAUUUUUAAGGUGUACGUGGUUGGCAAUUAUGUAAGAUGCGUCAAGAGGAAGUCUUUGCCAGAUGUUGAGGAUAAGCUAGAUUUUUCAAAGGACUUGUUGUCGUUCUCUCAGAUUUCCAAUUUAGCCGCCAACGAGAGGAUUGAUGAUAAGUAUUACGAGAUGAUGCAUCUGGGUGACACAGAGAUGCCCCCGCAGAGCUUCAUUAACGAAAUAGCUCGAGGCUUAAGGCAUGCGUUGAAGUUGAAUCUUUUUAACUUUGAUGUGAUUCGAGACUCGAGAUUUGGAAAUCGGUACCUUAUAAUUGACAUUAAUUACUUCCCGGGGUAUGCUAAAAUGCCGAAUUUCGAGUCUAUAGUGACAGACUUCUUGUAUGAUACAAUGUACAAGAAACAGAAAGAACAAAUGCUGAAGGGUCCGGAUGAAAAAGUCUGCUCGGAGAUUACUGUUUUGGAUCAGUGUCAGAAGCAUAGUUAUGGCGAAGAUAAGAGAAAGGUUAUAAGCAACACUUGUAGUGACGAGGAUGAGGGAAGCCUUCAAGUUUCACCUUUCAACAUGGAGGAGAAAGAGAAUUCAGUUCAAGUCUGAUAAUCAUGUCAAACACUGUGUAUCUCAUUCUAUCAUCAUCAUUUGUUGGUGGUUUUGGGCAACCAGAAUUUGCUCAAUGGACCCAUGCGCCAAUUUGUGGAUAGACGGGAGCUGCACAUUCUGUUUAGAUAGCCAUUGGUACAGUGGUGAAAUCAGUUGGUUGUUUGUGCCUAGUUUAACCCCUUAACAUGUAUAUUCCACCCGCCAUUUCUCUGGAGAUAGGGAGUUUUCUUUGGAGUUCAACAGCUUCAUGUUAUAUAUGGUAAAUGCAUAAUAGACUUUGGACUGGCAGAUGCCCUGCAUUUGUUCUCCUUGCCUAUAGCUGUUUGUAUGUGUAUAUCUAUGCUUUAUUACGUCUCAAAUCAACAUUGAGGACUUAAACUGAUGUCUGACAUGGAGUUUGAAUUCUGAAUUUUAAAUGCUACAUGCUGUGCAGCCAAUAUAAGGAAUCACUUUUUGCCCUAACCAGUAUCCUCUUCGUUUCUGACAUGAUUUAUCGGGUUGUAAGCACAAUUUUGCAUGUUCUUUAGGUAUUUGAAAUACACAUUACUUUUUUCCCCUUGGUAUUUGCCAGAUGUUUGGCAAAGUUUAUGGAGAUUUUGAAACAUUUCCAGAUUGAACCUGAUGUGCAAAGUCCAGUAUAUGCCUAUCUUUUUCACAGUGCAAACAUACUUUUAUUCAUUGAACUGUAGCCUAC
Molecule: RNA transcript, 2075 nt
Organism: Prosopis cineraria
Lineage: Eukaryota; Viridiplantae; Streptophyta; Magnoliopsida; Fabales; Fabaceae
Gene name: inositol-tetrakisphosphate 1-kinase 1-like
Exons: 2
Source: RefSeq, a predicted model, not a curated record